This 205-nucleotide ribosomal RNA is filed under the name uncultured bacterium. RNAcentral's name for it is "partial 16S ribosomal RNA". It matches the Rfam family "Bacterial small subunit ribosomal RNA", at positions 568 to 774 of the family's 1533-position model. The record is from RNAcentral.
CUCGUAGGUGGUUUGUCGCGUUGUUCGUGAAAACUCACAGCUCAACUGUGGGCGUGCGGGCGAUACGGGCAGACUUGAGUACUGCAGGGGAGACUGGAAUUCCUGGUGUAGCGGUGGAAUGCGCAGAUAUCAGGAGGAACACCGGUGGCGAAGGCGGGUCUCUGGGCAGUAACUGACGCUGAGGAGCGAAGCGUGGGAGCGAACA